ACCAUCUCACCACCACCACCAAAUCCAUCCUACAGCCCUUUCACAAGGAAAAUCCAAUGCCCUUGUGCCUUGGGGCAGAGAUCUAUCUGACCUACAUCUCCUAGAAUCAUUGGAAGGGCCUUAUAAAAGUCUUCUAGUUCAACUCCCCUGUUUUGAAUGAGAACGAACAAAUCCCACUUCACUUUCAUGCCGCUGAUUUUUGCCUCUUGGCACCACCAAAAUCAACCCCUCCUCAUGUGCUGCCACCUUUAUCCUUCAGAAUUCAUCCCAUGCCCAUCCCCGGCAGCCUGCAGGACCUCUCCAGCCUCUCCUUGCUGUGGAGGCAACCUCAGGCCAGGAGUUUCUUCCAUCAUGCAUGACUUGCAUGAGCACCACGCGUGCUCAGUUCUGAGCAGCAACCCUCAUCCCUUGCAUAGCUGGCUGUAAUGACUCAUCCUUCAGAUGAUGAGAUGGUAUCAAGCAUUUGGAAUCGGGAGCUUUUCAGAGAAAAACAGCUUUGCUGAGCCACAGCCCACCCCAUUGUGGUAGGUUUCCCCCCCCCCUCCCAUCUUCUGGAAUUUGCAGAGAGAUCUAUGUUUCAACUUCAGUUAUAUAGAAAACAUUUUCAUUUCCAGCUUCUGAAAAGACAUUAAGAAAUGUGAGAGCACAACGAAUUGCCAUCUGCCUCUCUCCAGGUCAUGAUGAGUUAACACAAUAGAAAGCAGAACAGUCAAAGGGUUUUGAGCACGAGAAGCAGAAAGAGGGUUUCCUGGCUUCACUGCCUCCAGAAUGGAGCAAAUUUUGCACACUGUGAGUUGAUAAAUUAAUGCUCGGAGUCUCUGCACAGUCUGUGCAAUGGAUCGACUGCUCUGCACACCCUCUCCGUGGGCAGUGCUCUUCCCAAGUGCUGCCAAUGCCGUUAUCAGGAAACGGAUCAGCUCUAUCUGAGAUAAAUUGCAUUUCCACCAAUUACAGCUUAAUUGUUGACAGAUGGGAACACAGAAGGGAGAUGCGUCGAGUCAUUAAGAGGACAGGUGUAUAGAAAAGUGCCAGAUUAAUUGUUCCAGCCCAUUAAAUCGUUGACCUUUCCGGCCUACCCUCAGAGCUGAAUUCAGAGCUCUCGGGAUCCUUCCAGCUCACAUACGAUGGCUGCGUUCACAAGAAAAGCACACAGGGGUGCUUUUAAAACACACACCCCAGACACAGACUCAUUAGCAGGACUCCUUUCUCAUUUAAAGCUGUUUUCUUACUGGAGUUUGUUUUCUUGGCUUUCCCAUGCACUCACACAUGGCUCCAAGGAGAAGCUUUCUCCCCAGAGCACGCAGACUUGCUGUACGU
This 1317-nucleotide long non-coding RNA is filed under the name Gallus gallus (chicken). RNAcentral describes it as "lncRNA (ENSGALG00010020222.1)". The record is from RNAcentral. Lineage: Eukaryota; Metazoa; Chordata; Aves; Galliformes; Phasianidae.